Molecule: long non-coding RNA, 1383 nt
Filed under: Oreochromis niloticus (Nile tilapia)
Lineage: Eukaryota; Metazoa; Chordata; Actinopteri; Cichliformes; Cichlidae
Description: lncRNA (ENSONIG00000027489.1)
Source: RNAcentral
AUGUUUACUCCAACAUCAACCAUGCAUAUAGAGCCAUACCCCUCCCCCACCUCGGUCAGUCCAACCACCUCUCCCUCCUGCUCUCCCCAGCCUACACCCCCCUCAGACGCAGUGCCAGGCCCACCACAAAGACUGUUACAACCUGGCCUGAAAAUGCUCUCUCCAAACUACUCUGCUUCACAGGGACAGACUGGGACAUAUUUGAACACCAGGACCUGGAAACCUUCACAGGAUCAGGACUACAUCAAGUUCUGUACUGCAAAUGUGACAGUGGACAAAAACAUUCGGGUUUUCCCAAACCAAAAACCCUGGAUGACCAGCGAGGUCCGCUCACUCCUCAAAGCCCAUGAUGCCGCCUUCAGGUCAGGUGACAGAGCUCUGUACAAGGCUGCUCGAGCUGACCUGAAAAGGGGGAUUAAAAAAGCCAAGUCAGACCACAAAAGGAACAUCGAGUCCCACCUGUCCAGCAACAACACACGGGAGGUGUGGCAGGGAAUGCAAGACAUCAUCAACCACAGAGGCAGCACUGCGAAAACAGAAAACCUGAGUGUGCAGCUGGCAGAGGAAAUAAACACCUUCUUUGCCUGCUUUGAAACACCACAACAGCAGCACUCAUCUGCCUCAGCCCUGCUCCCAUCCUCAUCCUCACCUGGUUCCUGCACCGCUCCACUCACUGUAACGGAGCACGAUGUCAGACGUGUGCUCCUAGCAGUGAACCCCAGGAAGGCGGGCGGUCCAGACGGAGUACCUGGCAAGGUACUAAGAGCAUGCGCACACCAGCUCACCCUUAUCUUCACCAGACUCUUCAACCUCUCACUGGAUCAGGCAGCCAUCCCAUCCUGUCUAAAAUCAGCCACAAUCAUCCCAGUGCCGAAGAAGUCUCCCAUCUCCAGCCUGAAUGAUUACCGCCCUGUGGCCCUCACACCGGUAAUCAUGAAAUGCUUUGAGAGACUAGUCCUUCAGCACAUCAAGGAUUACCUCCCCCCAGAAUUCAACCCCCACCAGUUUGCAUACCGCACAAACAGAUCCACAGAAGACGCCCUCGCCACAGCCCUCCACGCUGUGUUGAGUCACCUAGAGCAGCGGCAGAGCUACGUCCGAAUGCUCUUCGUGGACUACAGCUCAGCCUUUGAUACAGUCAUCCCGGACAUCCUCAUCACCAAACUGGUCACUCUUGGCCUCCCUCCUCUCACAUGUGCCUGGAUAAAGGACUUUCUCACAAACCGGCCCCCAGACUGGAAGACUCGGCCCUCAUCUCUCCUCCACUCGCACACUGAGCACCGGCUCCCCACAGGGCUGUGUGCUGAGCCCGCUCCUGUAUUCUCUCUACACCCACGACUGCAGUUCGACUCACAACAACACUCUCAUCAUCAAGUUUGCUGA